GUGAGGUAACGGCUCACCAAGGCGACGACGGGUAGCUGGUCUGAGAGGACGACCAGCCACACUGGAACUGAGAUACGGUCCAGACUCCUACGGGAGGCAGCAGUGGGGAAUCUUGCGCAAUGGGCGAAAGCCUGAUGCAGCGACGCCGCGUGAGGGAUGAAGGCCUUCGGGUUGUAAACCUCUUUCAGCAGGGACGAAGCGAAAGUGACGGUACCUGCAGAAGAAGCGCCGGCCAACUACGUGCCAGCAGCCGCGGUAAGACGUAGGGCGCGAGCGUUGUCCGGAAUUAUUGGGCGUAAAGAGCUCGUAGGCGGCUUGUUGCGUCGGCUGUGAAAACCCGCGGCUCAACCGUGGGCUUGCAGCCGAUACGGGCAGGCUAGAAUUCGGUAGGGGAGACUGGAAUUCCUGGUGCAGCGGUGAAAUGCGCAGAUAUCAGGAGGAACACCGGUGGCGAAGGCGGGUCUCUGGGCCGAUAUUGACGCUGAGGAGCGAAAGCGUGGGGAGCGAACAGGAUUAGAUACCCUGGUAGUCCACGCUGUAAACGUUGGGCGCUAGGUGUGGGGGACCUCUCCGGUUCUCUGUGCCGCAGCUAACGCAUUAAGCG
RNAcentral lists this ribosomal RNA (604 nucleotides) under uncultured Actinomycetes bacterium. RNAcentral describes it as "bacterial SSU rRNA". It matches the Rfam family "Bacterial small subunit ribosomal RNA", at positions 252 to 866 of the family's 1533-position model. Lineage: Bacteria; Bacillati; Actinomycetota; Actinomycetes. The record is from RNAcentral.